This is a long non-coding RNA of Neofelis nebulosa (Clouded leopard), 388 nucleotides long. RefSeq lists it as uncharacterized. NCBI's taxonomy places the organism in Eukaryota, Metazoa, Chordata, Mammalia, Carnivora, Felidae. The transcript is spliced from 3 exons. The record is from RefSeq and is a predicted model, not a curated record.
CAGGAAGAAGACCUGCUACAACCAACACCAGCACUGUGCAGAGGGUCACCGCAGCACCCAGAACCUGAGAUGAAAUUCACAAUCUCCACGAGAUAAGGCACAGCCAAAACAGCACGGGAUGACAAAACCUGAACUUGCUAUGGGAAUUUCCAAACAGAUAAGAACUUAAGAACUUUGCAAACACACCCCAGGUUGAAAGACAAGAGCAACUUGAAGAAAAUAGCCAGUGAAAAUAUGAGCACCCUUCUUAAAAGGUCCUCAUAAGAACUGCAACACGAAAGAGACCAAGGCCCUGACUGUCUUCUAUUCAACAGAAUCAGUACUCAGAUGAGUGCCAUCAAGAUCUCUUUAGUCUCCAUAAGUGAUUGCAAACACUUGACAAUCAAGA